This is a long non-coding RNA of Aethalodelphis obliquidens (Pacific white-sided dolphin), 1022 nucleotides long. RefSeq lists it as uncharacterized. The record is from RefSeq and is a predicted model, not a curated record. Lineage: Eukaryota; Metazoa; Chordata; Mammalia; Artiodactyla; Delphinidae. The transcript is spliced from 3 exons.
CAGGACUUGACACAGACUCUUUGCCUUCUACGGAGUUUUGUCGGCUCAUUGGAUACAUCCGCAGAGAACCUACCGCCUCUCCAGGGCAGAUGAACAGGAGGGCUACCCCCAAGGUGACCAUGGAAACCACAUGUUGAAGAUGGUAUCAUCCUGGUCCCUGAAUGACCACACAGAGCAGAGCAUCCCUCUCAGACAACACAAGCCCCCUCCUCUGACCUGGAACAACUCAACAAUUCAGGACUCUUAGGUAGCAAGGAUCAGAUAUCUGUUGUGUUGAGUCUUGGAUGUAUUUGGAUGUAUUUGUUACACCGGCUGGACUACCUUCAGUAACCCAACACCAUUUGCAGAUUUUCAAGAUGAUGACUGAGAAACUGUUCCACAGCCUUGGAGUCUCCUCAUCCACUUCCCACCCUGAAGAAAGUUAAAGCGGGCUGUGGAAUUCAGCCUAACUUCACCUGCAUGUCUAGGAGACAAGAAGACGGUUGACCGACUGCUUCAGAGGCAGAAACAGCAAUGUGUGGCCAUAUGGGGUGUCCCGGAGGCUGUUUACAUGGCUGUGUGUGCAGAAGGACAUCAGCAGAAGAAGUGUUCUGGAUGCCAGGAUCUGAGAAGCGGUCCCAGGAAACCACUUGGAGCAGACAUGCCUUCAAAUGACCUCCACCAUUUGCAAGAGUCCCAGCAGGAAACUCUGGGCUGGGCAAGGAGGAUGCCACAUCACACCCUGCAGGUGCCAGGGACAUCAACCAAGAUCACUCUCAGGAAUGCUUAUGGAAUCUUGCCUGGAUGCAUUGCAAAUAUCACCCCCAGGAGAAAACUGCAGUCUUUCGAGAACACCAAACUUGCCCGAGUCUGCAGAAGACUUGCAGAUAAAUCAAACUAAAAUCUAAAAUCGAAAGCCACAACCAACCAUUUUCCUUUCUUCACUCUGUAUGACAUAGAAAUUUACCUUUUUGGGCAUUUCACUUGUAGUUAUCUAUUCAUCUCACUCUGUCUCUUAUCAAAAUAUUUCAUUGGAGUUUCCC